RNAcentral lists this ribosomal RNA (405 nucleotides) under uncultured bacterium. Its description in RNAcentral is "bacterial SSU rRNA". It matches the Rfam family "Bacterial small subunit ribosomal RNA", at positions 31 to 481 of the family's 1533-position model. The record is from RNAcentral.
GUACGCUGGCGGCACGCCUAAUACAUGCAAGUCGAACGAAGUAGCAAUACUUAGUGGCAGACGGGUGAGUAACAUGUAGGUAUCUUCCCAUUGGUGAGGAAUAACACGAGGAAACUUGUGCUAAUACCUCAUAAGUCUUUACGGAGAAAGCUUUAUGCGCCGAUGGAUGAGCCUGCACUUGAUUAGUUUGUUGGUAGGGUAAUGGCCUACCAAGACAAUGAUCAAUAGCUGAUUUGAGAGGAUGAUCAGCCACAUUGGGACUGAGACACGGCCCAAACUCCUACGGGAGGCAGCAGUAGGGAAUCUUGCACAAUGGGGGAAACCCUGAUGCAGCGAUGCCGCGUGAGUGAAGAAGGCCUUUGGGUUGUAAAGCUCUUUCGUCGGGGAAGAAAAUGACUGUACCCG